ACAGCAUAUGAUCUGUAGAAUAAGAAAUCACUCCUUCUCUCAGCACGACAGAUAAAAAUUCUGGAGGAGACAGAUCUUCUCUUGAUGGAAUAGGCUUGCGUGGGUAGAUGGUGGAGUCGAUCAGAGUCGCAGAAACACUGAAUCUUAAGUAGAAGGAAUAGGAUAGAAAGUGGACCUCACACCCUCCCCUUGUGGGGCGAUUUUGGGUCUCACACCCUCUCCCUCUCGGAGCGAUUGACACAAGUAUUUAUGGAGUUUAUAAAAUUAUUCAUUCUUUUUUCAUGAAAGAUACAAGGAUUUAUAUAGGACUCUAAGGGUCCUGUUUGUUUAGGAAUCUCUUAUCUUUACAAGGAAGAAAUCAACCCUCCACAAAAAAGUAAAGCAUUAUAAUCUACCAUAGGAAAGAAAUUAGCCUACAACAAAAUAAGUAGCCAAGAACUCUUAAGGAAUUCUAAGGAAGAAAUGGAACUCCAUGUGGGUGCUUGAUGCUUGACACAAUUUGGUAUGAGCACGGCACAUGCUGGCAUGCAUAUUUCUUCUCUUGGCAUGUGGAGAGUGGUGGCUCCAAAGGUGACGUGGACAAAUUCAAG
RNAcentral lists this long non-coding RNA (590 nucleotides) under Elaeis guineensis (African oil palm). RNAcentral's name for it is "long non-coding RNA (EGUI_LNC019325)". The record is from RNAcentral. Lineage: Eukaryota; Viridiplantae; Streptophyta; Magnoliopsida; Arecales; Arecaceae.